Molecule: transfer RNA, 72 nt
Filed under: Blastobotrys adeninivorans
Lineage: Eukaryota; Fungi; Ascomycota; Dipodascomycetes; Dipodascales; Trichomonascaceae
Description: tRNA Pro (TGG) score
Rfam family: tRNA
About the family: Transfer RNA (tRNA) molecules are approximately 80 nucleotides in length. Their secondary structure includes four short double-helical elements and three loops (D, anti-codon, and T loops).
Source: RNAcentral
GGCCGUGUGGUCUAGUAGUAUGAUACCCGCUUUGGGUGCGGGUGGUCCAGGGUUCAAUUCCCUGCUCGGCCC